This 447-nucleotide ribosomal RNA is filed under the name uncultured bacterium. Its description in RNAcentral is "partial 16S ribosomal RNA". It matches the Rfam family "Bacterial small subunit ribosomal RNA", at positions 29 to 523 of the family's 1533-position model. The record is from RNAcentral.
AACGAACGCUGGCGGCAGGCUUAACACAUGCAAGUCGAGCGCCCCGCAAGGGGAGCGGCAGACGGGUGAGUAACGCGUGGGAAUCUACCCAUCUCUGCGGAACAACUCCGGGAAGCUGGAGCUAAUACCGCAUACGCCCUUCGGGGGAAAGAUUUAUCGGGGAUGGAUGAGCCCGCGUUGGAUUAGCUAGUUGGUGGGGUAAAAGCCUACCAAGGCGACGAUCCAUAGCUGGUCUGAGAGGAUGAUCAGCCACAUUGGGACUGAGACACGGCCCAAACUCCUACGGGAGGCAGCAGUGGGGAAUAUUGGACAAUGGGCGCAAGCCUGAUCCAGCCAUGCCGCGUGAGUGAUGAAGGCCUUAGGGUUGUAAAGCUCUUUCACCGAUGAAGAUAAUGACGGUAGUCGGAGAAGAAGCCCCGGCUAACUUCGUGCCAGCAGCCGCCGUAA